This 460-nucleotide ribosomal RNA is filed under the name uncultured bacterium. RNAcentral describes it as "partial 16S ribosomal RNA". It matches the Rfam family "Bacterial small subunit ribosomal RNA", at positions 338 to 795 of the family's 1533-position model. The record is from RNAcentral.
CCUACGGGUGGCAGCAGUGAGGAAUAUUGGUCAAUGGCCGGAAGGCUGAACCAGCCAUGCCGCGUGAAGGUCAGUGCCCUAUGGGCGUUAAACUUCUUUUGUGCGGGAGCAAUAAUGGUCACGUGUGGCCAGACGAGAGUACCGUACGAAUAAGCAUCGGCUAACUCCGUGCCAGCAGCCGCGGGAAUACGGGGGAUGCAAGCGUUUGCCGGAUUUAUUGGGGUUAAAGGGUGCGUAGGCUGGGAGGUAAGUCAGCGGGGAAAUGCCCCCGCUAGACGGGGUGAAGUGCCAUUGAUACUGCCUUGCUGGAAUGCGGAUGCCGUGGGAGGAAUGUGGGAUGUAGCGGUGAAAUGCAUAGAUAUCACACAGAACACCGAUUGCGAAGGCAUCUCACGAAUCCGCGAUUGACGCUGAUGCACGAAAGCGUGGGUAUCAAACAGGAUUAGAUACCCCAGUAGUC